This is a small nucleolar RNA of Gadus morhua (Atlantic cod), 70 nucleotides long. Ensembl annotates it as small nucleolar RNA SNORD19. The record is from Ensembl. Lineage: Eukaryota; Metazoa; Chordata; Actinopteri; Gadiformes; Gadidae.
AGGAAAUGAGGACACUAACGCAAGUCUGACUAUAAUGAAGACUUCUAAUCCAACUCUGAUCCUGCUGGCC